AUUGAACGCUGGCGGCAUGCCUUACACAUGCAAGUCGAACGGCAGCACGGGAGCAAUCCUGGUGGCGAGUGGCGAACGGGUGAGUAAUGUAUCGGAACGUACCUUUCAGUGGGGGAUAACGUAGCGAAAGUUACGCUAAUACCGCAUAUUCUGUGAGCAGGAAAGCAGGGGAUCGCAAGACCUUGCGCUGAUUGAGCGGCCGAUAUCAGAUUAGCUAGUUGGUGAGGUAAAGGCUCACCAAGGCGACGAUCCGUAGCGGGUCUGAGAGGAUGAUCCGCCACACUGGAACUGAGACACGGUCCAGACUCCUACGGGAGGCAGCAGUGGGGAAUUUUGGACAAUGGGCGCAAGCCUGGUCCAGCCAUGCCGCGUGAGUGAAGAAGGCCUCGG
RNAcentral lists this ribosomal RNA (390 nucleotides) under uncultured bacterium. RNAcentral's name for it is "bacterial SSU rRNA". It matches the Rfam family "Bacterial small subunit ribosomal RNA", at positions 30 to 420 of the family's 1533-position model. The record is from RNAcentral.